Molecule: unclassified non-coding RNA, 109 nt
Filed under: Listeria monocytogenes
Lineage: Bacteria; Bacillati; Bacillota; Bacilli; Caryophanales; Listeriaceae
Description: PyrR
Source: RNAcentral
AAGUCCUUUAACAUAGUCCAGAGAGGCUAAGAAGGUGACGAUAAUUUGACGGGUUAAUUGUAUACUCGUACGCGUUCCCUUGCUUACACUGGCAGAGGGUUAUUUUUUG